UGUCUCCCUGCUGCCUCAGCACCCCCAUGGCUCUUGCCUUGGGGUCCAGGUUUCCCUGAGUGUUCCCUCCUUUGGUGUCAGUGAAGUCAUGGAAUAGAAUUCCAGGGAGAGUUCCCUAAAAUAGAAGAAGAGGGAUUACCUCAUUUCCACCACCUCUGAAAUAAAUCCUCAUUAUGGAUUUGCACCUGGGGAGGAAGGAGCUGAUUUCCACUCCCAGCCAGUUCUGAGCAGACAUUUGAAGAGGUCCAGAAAUGGAAAACCAGCCAUAAAGCACUGCAGCUGUGCCACAGAGCCCGUGCCAUGGUGGUGGCACUGGGGAUGUGGCCUCGGGCUCUUCAAAGCCUCUGCAGCUGCCUCUGGACCUGAACUGCUGUGACUUCGUGUUGUCCAAGUAAUUACAUAGGAGACCAUGGAGAGAGAUCAAAUCCUGCCACCCCCCUUGGAUCCUGGAAACGGCCCCUUAAGGCCCCCUCGAGCCUCGUUAGAGGGAACAAAUCCAAGUGCUGCACCAGAGGCUUGCAGGUAAAGCUGUGCCCCUGAGGACCUGCCUUUUCUAGACAGCCCCGUGGAUGGGGAGUGAAACAUUUCCAGGAGAUUCGAUUCCAUCUGGGCCCGGGGAAAUUCCGCAGCUCCAUCACCAAUCCAUCACCACUGGCUCAGGGAGGAGCCACAAAUUCAUCAUCAGCUGCUUCUGGAGCAGCUGUGGGGAUGGCAGGAGGAGCAGCAGUGCAGGCUGCCCUUCCUUGCACGUGGAGAAGAGCCAAAAUUGGGGCAAGGGAGCAGCUUUGAGCCUCUCCUUCCCCUCCUGCCCUGCUCUCCCAGCAGCUCUGCUCCCUGGGCCUGUGCAGCUGGGCUGGCUGGCAGCAGUUAUUGCUGGUUCCUUCACAGCCUUUGCUUUAGACCCCUCAUGAUGGUGGCUGUGACACCCCUGGAGCAGCAGUGAGUGUCCACUCAGGUGCUGUUGGCACAUCCAUGCUGACACUGCAGCCUGGCCCAGGGAAUGUCACUGUUCUCAAGAGCAAAACGCCUUCAGGGGCUUGUGCUCUGUCCCAGGGUGAUGCUGCCCAGAGACACAACCUCCUCCUUCCUCCUCCUGCUCCUCCUCCUCCUCUCUG
Molecule: long non-coding RNA, 1115 nt
Organism: Neopelma chrysocephalum (saffron-crested tyrant-manakin)
Lineage: Eukaryota; Metazoa; Chordata; Aves; Passeriformes; Pipridae
Exons: 4
Source: RefSeq, a predicted model, not a curated record